GUCUUUUACAACCUUAAUGAUUCUGUGAUUCUCUGUUUCAGGAAGCAAACCUCACUCACCCCGCCUGGACCCUGCCCAGAGGUACGGUGUGAGCCCACCCGCGGGUGCUGGUGUACUCUGGUAACUGACGGUGCAAAAGCGGUCUCUGACGGCGGCUGGCGUCUCGGCGAGGUGACGUCCUUCGGACAGUUACAGACGACGUAGCAGAGCUGGGGACAGAAAGUGUUAUCGUGCGAAUCCCAGGUAGUGGUGGAAGAAGUCAUAAAUCUCGCUCCGUGCUAUGAAGCUCCCUUCUCCAAAAGAGACUUUCAGUACGAUAAAGAAGUGUUUUAUUGCAAAGAACAUUUUCUGGCUACUACCAGUGAGCUGAUGUAUGAAAAAUGAAGCGGCAGUCGUGAGGCUGAUUAGCCAAAAUAAAUUAUGCAGUCUAGAAAAUAUGAGCGUGCAGGAUGUGUGACGGGCGGAAAAUCUCAUUACUGAGGCGCGGAGAGCGGCCGGGCGCCGUCUUAUUCAAAAUACAAGCGUGCAAAUUAGCCACGACGAAAGGCCAAGCUGUCAGAAACGCGAGCUGCGUACGUCUUGUUGCAAAUGUGACAGUAGAACCCAUUUUGUUAUAAAAGAUGUCACAUGCCAGGGAUUUGUCCUCGAAGGCGGUCUUACUUUCCCAAUGGGAAAUUCAGGCUUGUGUCCGUGAG
Molecule: non-coding RNA, 695 nt
Organism: Phalacrocorax carbo (great cormorant)
Lineage: Eukaryota; Metazoa; Chordata; Aves; Suliformes; Phalacrocoracidae
Source: RefSeq, a predicted model, not a curated record